RNAcentral lists this long non-coding RNA (330 nucleotides) under Ictidomys tridecemlineatus (thirteen-lined ground squirrel). RNAcentral's name for it is "lncRNA (ENSSTOG00000034675.1)". The record is from RNAcentral. Lineage: Eukaryota; Metazoa; Chordata; Mammalia; Rodentia; Sciuridae.
GGAGAAGAGAAAAUGGUUAAAGUCUGUGGCCAGAUAUAGUGGCAGAACUUUCUAAUACCCGAAGGAGGGGAAGAUGCCACACUUGAUCCCUGACGCCUGUGAGCAUGAGAACAGUGUCCAACACAGAACAGAUUAACAAAUACUGAUCCCGUGAAGGCAAGGACUACAGUUUUUUCUCUUCAUCAUGCUGUCAUGACCUCAAAUAUUGCCCGGCACAUCACAUGCAAUCAGAAAUACUCAUGAACAAAUUAAUAUAAUUUAAUCACUUCAACUGAAAAUUGAGAGCACAAGGUCCCAAGAAGGUAAGUGGUCAGCCACACUGUCUAGGAC